GGAGGUAACAGCUCAGUGGUACAGUGGAGUGCUUAGCAUGCACAAGGUCCUGGGUUCAUUCCCCAGUACCGCCA
Molecule: transfer RNA, 74 nt
Filed under: Camelus bactrianus (Bactrian camel)
Lineage: Eukaryota; Metazoa; Chordata; Mammalia; Artiodactyla; Camelidae
Also listed under: 1 other name
Rfam family: tRNA
About the family: Transfer RNA (tRNA) molecules are approximately 80 nucleotides in length. Their secondary structure includes four short double-helical elements and three loops (D, anti-codon, and T loops).
Source: Rfam by way of RNAcentral